RNAcentral lists this ribosomal RNA (305 nucleotides) under uncultured bacterium. RNAcentral's name for it is "bacterial SSU rRNA". It matches the Rfam family "Bacterial small subunit ribosomal RNA", at positions 335 to 636 of the family's 1533-position model. The record is from RNAcentral.
UUACCUACGGGGGGCAGCAGUGAGGAAUAUUGGUCAAUGGCCGAGAGGCUGAACCAGCCAAGUCGCGUGAGGGAUGACGGCCCUACGGGUUGUAAACCUCUUUUGUCGGGGAGCAAGACCCGCCUCGUGCAGGCGGAGCGAGAGUACCCGAAGAAAAAGCAUCGGCUAACUCCGUGCCAGCAGCCGCGGUAAUACGGAGGAUGCGAGCGUUAUCCGGAUUUAUUGGGUUUAAAGGGCGUGUAGGCGGGCCUGCAAGUCAGAAGUGAAAUCUGGGGGCUUAACCCCUAAACUGCUUUUGAAACUGG